CUCAGGUGUGUGUGGGAGCCAAAGCAAGAGGCCUAAAAGCCUGUGAUUUCAGGAGAUGAGGACAGUGUGACAUGAGGAGAGGAUGACAGGGGGGUAGGGCCAGUGUGACACGAGGGCAAAGGUCCUCACAUGACAAGGAUCAGUGUGACAUGUGAGAGGGCUCAGCGGGCUAGGUGAAGGGGGCCUGCACCUCACAGAGGAGGGAGUUUAUUUUUAAGUUAAGUGCUGGUAAAUGUCACACAGAGAGGAAGCGAUCAGCCACGCUGACUGAGGACAGGUCUUCUUGCUGGAAGAGGGUAUGGAGACAGCAGACAUGAACAGCUUCCUUCUAGUCUUCACUAUUCUGACAGUGGCUGUGGCAACAACGCCCGGAACACCACCAGCAGAACAGGCAGACUCAGUCGAGCAAUUGUAUCAGGAGAACGUCCAAAAUGAAUCAACCUGUUCGGUCUUCCUGAACUCAGAAAAGGACACCUGUCUGGGGACCCUGAUCCACAAACAGUGGGUUCUCACCGCAGCACACUGCUUCUUACCAUUUCUUGAGAUGGAGAUUGCUAUUUCA
RNAcentral lists this long non-coding RNA (562 nucleotides) under Bos indicus x Bos taurus (hybrid cattle). RNAcentral's name for it is "lncRNA (ENSBIXG00005010604.1)". Lineage: Eukaryota; Metazoa; Chordata; Mammalia; Artiodactyla; Bovidae. The record is from RNAcentral.